Molecule: non-coding RNA, 761 nt
Filed under: Cardiochiles fuscipennis
Lineage: Eukaryota; Metazoa; Arthropoda; Insecta; Hymenoptera; Braconidae
Source: RNAcentral
AUUAAAUAAAAUUUUACAUAUAAAAUUUUUUGUAUAUUAAUAAUUUUUUAGAUAAAAAUUAUAAUAAAAUUUAUGUAUUUAUUAAUAGUAGUAAUUAGUAUUAUUAAUUUAAUUAAUGUUAAAUUGUAGUUAUUAUUUAAAAAUAAUGAUUAAAUUUGUGCCAGCAGUCGCGGUUACACAUUAUAUUAAAAUUUUAUAAAAUUAAAUUUAAAAUCUUAUUUAAAUUUUUUUAUUAAUAAAUCUAUAAUUUAUAGUAAAAUAUUAAUUAUUAUAAAAUCAAUAAAAUUUUAAUUUAUAAAUUUUUUAAAUUUACUUAAAAAACUAGGAUUAGAUACCCUAUUAUUUAAACUUAUAUAAUUUAACUAUUAAACAUUAAAUUCCUAAAAUUAAAAAAUUUGACGGUAUUUUAAAAAUUAGGGGAACUUGGAAUUUAAUUUGACAUCCCACAAUCAAUUAAACUUAAUUCAUAUAUUUAUAUAAUGCUGUAUACAAAUUUAAACUUAAGAUUUAAAUUUAAUAUUUUAUUUAAAAAUCAUUACAAGUCAAAUUAUAAUUUAUAAUUAAGUAUUAUUUAGUUACUUUAAAAUAUAACAUUAUAUUAAAAAUAAAAAAAUUUUUAUUAUAUAGAAUUUAAUAUUAAAUUUUAAAUAAUUAUUUAAAUUAAAUAUAACCCAAAAUAUGUACAAAUCGCCCGUCAUUCUUAAUUAAAUUAAGGUAAGUCGUAACAAAGUAAUAUUACUGGAAAGUGUUAUUAGAAUUUA